RNAcentral lists this ribosomal RNA (254 nucleotides) under uncultured bacterium. RNAcentral describes it as "partial 16S ribosomal RNA". It matches the Rfam family "Bacterial small subunit ribosomal RNA", at positions 524 to 776 of the family's 1533-position model. The record is from RNAcentral.
UACGAAGGGGGCUAGCGUUGUUCGGAAUCACUGGGCGUAAAGCGCACGUAGGCGGAUCGUUAAGUCGGGGGUGAAAUCCCAGGGCUCAACCCUGGAACUGCCUUCGAUACUGGCGAUCUUCGAGUCCGGGAGAGGUGAGUGGAACUCCGAGUGUAGAGGUGAAAUUCGUAGAUAUUGGGAAGAACACCGAUGGCGAAGGCAGCCAUCUGGACCGACACUGACGCUGAGGCGCGAAAGCGUGGGGAGCAAACAGG